GAAAAGGAGGGUUCAAUCCCUUCCCUUAUUA
Molecule: transfer RNA, 31 nt
Filed under: Heliomaster constantii (plain-capped startthroat)
Lineage: Eukaryota; Metazoa; Chordata; Aves; Apodiformes; Trochilidae
Description: partial tRNA-Met
Source: RNAcentral